This 334-nucleotide ribosomal RNA is filed under the name uncultured bacterium. RNAcentral's name for it is "bacterial SSU rRNA". It matches the Rfam family "Bacterial small subunit ribosomal RNA", at positions 8 to 334 of the family's 1533-position model. The record is from RNAcentral.
AGGGUUUGAUUCUGGCUCAGGAUGAACGCUAGCUACAGGCUUAACACAUGCAAGUCGAGGGGCAGCAUCAUCAAAGCUUGCUUUGAUGGAUGGCGACCGGCGCACGGGUGAGUAACACGUAUCCAACCUGCCGACAACACUGGGAUAGCCUUUCGAAAGAAAGAUUAAUACCGGAUGGCAUAGUUUUCCCGCAUGGGAUAAUUAUUAAAGAAUUUCGGUUGUCGAUGGGGAUGCGUUCCAUUAGGCAGUUGGCGGGGUAACGGCCCACCAAACCAACGAUGGAUAGGGGUUCUGAGAGGAAGGUCCCCCACAUUGGAACUGAGACACGGUCCAA